RNAcentral lists this ribosomal RNA (497 nucleotides) under uncultured bacterium. RNAcentral describes it as "partial 16S ribosomal RNA". It matches the Rfam family "Bacterial small subunit ribosomal RNA", at positions 28 to 507 of the family's 1533-position model. The record is from RNAcentral.
GACGAACGCUGGCGGCGUGCCUAAUACAUGCAAGUUGAGCGAUGAAGAUUGGUGCUUGCACCCAUUUGAAGAGCAGCGAACGGGUGAGUAACGCGUGGGGAAUCUUCCUUUGAGCGGGGGACAACAUUUGGAAACGAAUGCUAAUACCGCAUAACAACUUUAAACAUAAGUUUUAAGUUUGAAAGAUGCAAUUGCAUCACUCAAAGAUGAUCCCGCGUUGUAUUAGCUAGUUGGUGAGGUAAAGGCUCACCAAGGCGAUGAUACAUAGCCGACCUGAGAGGGUGAUCGGCCACAAUGGGACUGAGACACGGCCCAAACUCCUACGGGAGGCAGCAGUAGGGAAUCUUCGGCAAUGGACGAAAGUCUGAACGAGCAACGCCGCGUGAGUGAAGAAGGGUGUCGGAUCGGAAAACUCUGUUGGUAGAGAAGAACGUUGGUGAGAGUGGAAAGCUCAUCAAGUGACGGUAACUACCCAGAAAGGGACGGCUAACUACGUG